This 344-nucleotide ribosomal RNA is filed under the name Adelina sp. 1 JM-2013. RNAcentral's name for it is "bacterial SSU rRNA". It matches the Rfam family "Eukaryotic small subunit ribosomal RNA", at positions 681 to 1026 of the family's 1831-position model. The record is from RNAcentral. Lineage: Eukaryota; Apicomplexa; Adeleidae.
UUGGUGUGCCUUCCGCAUCAUCCUGGAGAACGUUUUCUGUACUUGAUUGUGCGGAGCGGUAUCCAGGACUUUUACUUUGAGAAAAUUAGAGUGUUUCAAGCAGGCUAACGUCUUGAAUACUGCAGCAUGGAAUAAUAAGAUAGGAUUUCGGUUCUACUUUGUUGGUUUUAGGAACUGAAUUAAUGAUUAAUAGGGACAGUUGGGGGCAUUCGUAUUUAACUGUCAGAGGUGAAAUUCUUAGAUUUGUUAAAGACGAACUACUGCGAAAGCAUUUGCCAAAGAUGUUUUCAUUAAUCAAGAACGAAAGUUAGGGGAUCGAAGACGAUCAGAUACCGUCGUAGUCU